UGAAUACGAGACGCUAAGGCGUUGAAGUAGUGUAUGUCAUACUUCCAAGAAAAGCUUGCACUGUCAUAGAUAAAAAACGCCUGUACCAUAACCGACACAGGUGGGUAGGUAGAGUAUACUAAGGGGCGCGAGAUAACUCUCUCUAAGGAACUCGGCAAAAUAACUCCGUAACUUCGGGAGAAGGAGUGCCUUAUUUAUAAGGCUGCAAUAACAAGAUCCAAGCAACUGUUUAUCAAAAACACAGGUCUCCGCUAAGUCGUAAGACGAUGUAUGGGGGCUGACGCCUGCCCAGUGCCAGAAGGUUAAAGAAGUUGGUUAGCAAUAGCGAAGCUGAUAACUGAAGCCCUGGUGAACGGCGGCCGUAACGAUAACGGUCCUAAGGUAGCGAAAUUCCUUGUCGGGUAAGUUCCGACCCGCACGAAAGGCGUAAUGAUUUGGAUACUGUCUCGGAGAGGGGCUCGGUGAAAUAGACUUGUCUGUGAAGAUGCGGACUACCUGCACCAGGACAGAAAGACCCUAUGAAGCUUUACUGUAACUUGAAAUUGAAAUUGGACUUUAUUCGCGCAGUAUAGGUGGGAGGCGUUGAUUGUAAUCUUGCGGGAUUAUUGGAGCCAUCAGUGAGAUACCACCCUUGUAAUGUUAGAUUUCUAACUUUGAAUCAUUAUCUGGUCAAAGAACAGUUUCAGGCGGGCAGUUUGACUGGGGCGGUCGCCUCCUAAACGGUAACGGAGGCGUACAAAGGUUUCCUCUGAACGGUUAGAAAUCGUAUCUAGAGUGUAAAGGCAUAAGGAAGCUUGACUGUGAGACCUACAAGUCGAGCAGGGACGAAAGUCGGUCUUAGUGAUCUGACGGUACUGAGUGGAAAGGCCGUCACUCAACGGAUAAAAGUUACUCUAGGAUAACAGGCUGAUCUCCCCCAAGAGUUCACAUCGACGGGGAGGUUUGGCACCUCGAUGUCGGCUCAUCGCAUCCUGGGGCGGUAGUACGUCCCAAGGGUUGGGCUGUUCGCCCAUGAAAGCGGUACGCGAGCUGGGUUCAGAACGUCGUGAGACAGUUCGGUCCAUAUCCGGUGUAGGCGUUAGAAUAUUGAGAGGAGCCUUCUUUAGUACGAGAGGACCGAGAAGGACAUACCUCUGGUGUACCAGUUAUCGUGCCAACGGUAAACGCUGGGUAGCUAUGUAUGGAGUGGAUAACCGCUGAAAGCAUCUAAGUGGGAAGCCCACCUCAAGAUAAGUAUUCUCAC
Molecule: ribosomal RNA, 1243 nt
Filed under: metagenome
Description: bacterial LSU rRNA
Rfam family: Bacterial large subunit ribosomal RNA
Source: RNAcentral